Molecule: long non-coding RNA, 9176 nt
Organism: Gallus gallus (chicken)
Lineage: Eukaryota; Metazoa; Chordata; Aves; Galliformes; Phasianidae
Exons: 6
Source: RefSeq, a predicted model, not a curated record
GCCAUUUGCCUCACUUACUCCUGGGGUCUGGGUGAGCAUCUGGCCCCGACCUGGUAAAGGGUCGGUUUCGCCCAGCAGUAAGCCCUACACGUAGACAGAGGACGAACACCGGACGAGCGAACGGAGACUACAUGCAACAGUUCCUGCAGAAUGUAUUUUCUUUCUUCUCAAAAUAUGAAAUCUAAAUCUUAAAUUUUCUUCAAGGAUUUUAUGUCUCCAGAAGCUCAAGUUACUGGGUUAGUACAGUCAAGAAAACAGAGAUCAGCUCUGACGCUUCUUUUUAAGUUGUCAUCUCAGAUGUAGUCAUAAAGUAUGGUUGACAAAAUGAGGUGAAAAGAAAUGUCUGAGGAGAGAAAAUUGCAUUCUCUAAAUCAGCAGUGUUUAAAACUUCCACAUAGUUCUUCAAUUUAAAAAGUUUUUCCACUAAAGACACAGACAGAAAUUUACAACUAAAUGCAGAACCGUCCCUGGAAGGAACAAAGCAUAUGGCACUGGUUCACUGGAAGACAGAAGGGAGCAAGUUGUUCUUUAACCUCAUGAUAAGGUUGAGUUAUAGUUCAUUAUUUUAGGAAUACAGUUUUGAUUCUCUCUGUUCAAGAGAGAUGUUGAAAAAUUGGACAGGGUUCUGAAAGGCAACAGUUAUGACUGGAGAUGUAGAGAAACUGACAUAAGAAGAAACACUGAGAGAAUUCUGGCUGCCAAACCUACAGAAUAGAAGCAUGAGGGAUCUACAGCUCUCCAGGUCUCAAAUCCAGGUGACUGUCAACCAUUUGAUUUUUUUCUCCUAUUCCUGCUAUUCUAUUUAUCAGGCAUAAAUAUAUGUAUUAAACACAGUAGUGUCAAGUUUUGCAAAAAAAACCAAACCAAAACAACAACAACAAAAAAAAAAACAGCUCAUAUCGUCUUUAAAUAUUAUUUUACUUUACCUUUAUAGUUUUUAUGAGGUAUUUGUCUAGUUCUGUUUUCUUGCUCUCAUUUCUGAUAUGUGAAUGGCCAGUUCUAAGUGAUGAAAAACUCAAUUCUAUUCAGUCUUUGUCUGAAUUUCACUUCCAGUUCUAUCAAGAGUUUACUUGCUGACAUUUUAGGUUUAAAAAGCCCAACAACCUUGGUGAAUGAAUUCAGAGGUAAUGUGUUUUCUGACAGCACGUGUGAGUGUGCAUGCGUAUGUGAGUAUAAUCUAAAAGCAAUUUCACUAUAAUUUCUUCAGAAAAGAAAGCAUAAUAUCUACUUAUUUUAUAUAUAGUAUGCUAAUCAGCAGGAUCUACAAGGCUGCACUUCUCCCAAAUUACCUCCAGAAAACUGACAGUUAAUAUUUGUUAUUUGGCUAAAAUUAUAUAUUGUAGUAUAACUGAAAACCAUUUUUAAACAUUUUCUAGACUGCUGAAUAUUUACAGCAUCAAUCAACAUGCAUUUCAGACAUGCAAAUUCAAAUGCAAAAAAAGAAAUUAUAUGAAAAAUAAAACAGAAGUACUGCUGGAAUAUUUUCAAUAGAUUCUAAAUUGUUCAUCAACGUUAAAAAUGUUUUUUGUUUCAAAAUGAAACAGUUCAUUUCCCAGGAAAAAGUAGUAGCUUUUUUUUUCAGAAAUCAAUGUUCAGCCAACAUUAUGCCUUUUAUAACCUUUCCGAAAUAUGAAUAUGCUGAUUAAUUCACAAGACAUAGAUCUUGAACUACCCUUCUAAACAUCAAGAGCUUUCAUUGAAGGCCAAUUCAUUGCAGCUUAUUCCAAAGAGACAAGAUUUGACUUUCAGAUUUUCAUAUGGUCUUUUAGUUUUUAUUGAUGCUUAUGCUGUAUUUAGCUUAUCCCAUCUGCUUCCAAUUACUGCAUAUGUUUUGUUAUUGUUUUUAUUUUGGUGUGGUUCUCUGUUUUUUAUAGGCCUGUCCUUUCAGAUGAGGAAGAGUUUAUUCCCCUGAAAUUAAACAUAUUCCAAGAUAGGUCAGGAAAACUAAAUGCAUAAUUAUUUCCAGCAUGUUAAUAUGGAUUAAAUCUCAGGUGUUUGUGUCUAUGUACUAAAUUAAACUCUUGACAUACUGCAUUAAAAGGCUUACUGUGUAAAAUAACUUUUAACUAAGUUAUCAAUAUCUGAUACAGACUGUGUUUAGGAGGAUAAAAUAGUUGGAGGAUAAUAUCCUCCUAAAAAUAGGAGGAUAAAAUAAAACCUCGAUAGAAAGUAACACAUAGGUAAAUCAAAUUCAGAAGUUUUACGCUCUUUAUUUUUUUUUACUGCACAGUAGUUAUAUUAACAAAUGUGGUUGUCUUUUUGUUGUUGUUGUUUGUUUGUCUAAUCAUUUGUAUUUUGUCUUUAUUCUAUAUUUAAAAACAAACAAACAAAACAAAACAAAAAAACUAUGAGCUUACUGGAGCUAUGAGAAAAGACUUUAUUCAAGAAGAGUUGAAGAUAUAUGGAAGAAAGGGCUAAGUAGGCCAGAAAUACAGAAAGUUGUUUCUUUAGUAAUGUGAUUUGUUACACUGGGGCCGCAUAUUGUCUGUUUACUCAAGCAGGUGGAUUUGCUGAAGAAGUGCUGAUGAUGCAGUGUUCUGACCCACAUAUAAGUUCCCAACAGACUGUACCAGCUGGUGUAGUUUAUGCGUAUAGUUCAAAUAAUGCCAACAAUUUUCUCUAUUACCUCCUGCAGAUGAAAUAGAAGAUAAUGUAAAUAUUGUCAAGUUAUCCUCCCAGAAACUGUCUGUAAGGAAGUCUAUACUUAGUUACCUAUAUUAUUUAUUUAUUUAUCCUCCUCCUUAUUAUCUUUGAUUUUUUUUUUAAUUUAAUGUGAAUAUCAAAAAUUGAGAACUAGAGAACUUCAUUAAAUUAAUCUAGUUUGCUCAUAUAAUUCAAACACAAAGACUUGAACUUUGGUCUCCAGAGGAAAAGAAAAUAGACCCUCUUUAAUUGUGUUGUGUUUCACAGAUGUCUGAAGUGGUAAAAAAGCACCAAUAAGACAUCUUAAGUUUUACUUAAUGUUAAGAUCUUUACACCUAACUAUUCUGAAGCUUUUGAAAAUUUGUUUAAAAAGAGUACUGUGAUUAAUGUAGUCAAAAGAUUGAUUUUCAUCUUACCUGAGAUGCUUUAAAUCUUACACUGUAAUUGUAAUUUUUGCUUAAUCUAUCAUGUUUUGUCAGCUCAGAUCACUGUUUAAAAUAAUAAAGAAAAGUGCUGAGAAGUAAAUACCUCUUUAGUAAUCAAGGUUGUUGAAAUGAAAGCUUUUAUUUUUGUGGAGUAAGAUUUUUUUUUAUUUGUUUUAAUGUGAAAAAAUUCUCCACUUGCAGGAAUAUCGAAAUGUAAUAAUAUUUCCUCGUAAUAGGGAAAUUUCCACAUAGACUUAUAUACUUACAGGGAAUAGGACGUUGAUUUAGGUAGGGAAGGAAACUUAUUAGCUGUUCUAAAACAAAUAAAAGGCCUUUUUUUAAGAAAAAGAAAAAGAUUAUUGUCUAUCUAUAUGUUACUUAUAUUAAAUAUGGAAGUAACUGCGGUUUUCCUCACACAUUAUCAGCAUACUUAACAGAAAUCCCAUUAACCUGUCAGAUAUUUUCUAAUUCAAGCACAGAUUUAGUCAUGAAUAGUCAGCUGGAAAUGAGGUAAUUGGGGUAUGAGAGAACUCUCAGUCUGUAUCCAUAAUUUAUAAUAAAAGAACUGAAGGUGUUCUGUGAAAGAAAGUUCUUAUGGUAAGUUUUGUAAAAGAUGAUAAAAAGAAUUUUUAUGAUGUUAUAAGGCAGUUAAAAACAAAAUAAAAAUAAUUUAAAAUGAAUACCUUAUAUUUAGUCAGCAUACUUAGGCACAAUUUUAGAUGUUUGUAUUAUUGUCCAUUGCUUCAUCCAUACCUUGUUUUGCAUCAUUGUCAUUAUAAAUUAAAGAAAUCAUAUGAAAGAUUAAAGCUGGGGUAGCCACAGAAACUUUUAAUUAUCAAACUUUCUAUGAUUCUGUGCCUGAGUCUGUGAAAUACCUUGAUUUCACAGAACAGCUAUGAAAUAGUGGGAGUUGAUACAGAAGAAAAAGGAAGGCAGGCUGUUAUAACAUUAGUAUUCUAAAAAAAUUAAUCAAACCAGGAAAUAAAUUAUUUACAAGGACUGCAGCCUAAUUUCUUUUCUUUUUUUUGUUGUGUCUUUGUAACCAAGCUGAAAGUGCUUGAAUAUGUUUAUCAGGUAUAAAAAUCCAUAGAUAUUAAGGAUGUUUGGGGAGGGAUUUAUAAUUUUUCACUUGUCCAUUUAAAUAUAUGAAUUCCCAUAUAGAAGUCCAAUGUGAUAGCUGCAGGGAGAUGAGAGAAGAGAGUGAAACAGAAGACUUCACUUUUGUCUUCUCAGCCUUCCCAUUCCUGAAAAUGUUUUAUCCUAAUCAGAAAGAAAAGAAGUGCCUAGAGGUAAGUAUUUAAACUAGAAAACUUUGAAAUUGGAAGCAUACCCUAGCUUUUUGUUUUGUUUUUUGUUUUUCUUAAAAAGUGUUGCAUUCUUGCCACUUUAACAGAAUUUAACUUAUUUUAACAAAGUUCUGGAGACACUCAACUAAAUAAUGGUUAUUUCAGAAAGGAAUGAAGUAGAAAAGGUCCAUUUGGGGAUCCUGCUAGUAUUGGAUAUUUCCUGUAGUCAAGUUUGAAGUUUUUUCAAAUCUGACAUUACAUGCUUCUUCACCUCCAAAAAAGGAGCAUUUCACUGAUGAAUAUAGGUGAAUGCUGUAGGGGUUUGUUUUGAUAUGUUUGAUACUAUCCUUACAUCUCUAGAGUAAUACAGUAUAGGCUUUUUAGAGGUCACUAUUAAGAUUAUUUCCCCCUUUUGUCUGCUACACCAUUUCCAUUUGGAAGAAGUUGAUCCUAUUUUCACCACCAAGAAAAGAUCUUCUGAUAUCUGUGGCAGUUUUGUUUCCCUUUCUUUAUGCAACCAGUGAAAAGCAAAAUUGUUAUCAAAUAAUUAUAGCCACAUAAUACCCUGUAAAGGUUUAUGACUUCUUACUGACAGGCCCUUCUCAAUUUUCCAUGAUGUUCAUGUGAAAACUUUAGUAAGAACAUUCACUGCUCUAAAUACAUAAUAAUUAGGAGUACAAAAAACAAAAUCACUUUAAAAAGACUAAAGAAACUGAAAUAUUUAGUGCAGUAACAUAGUAAGAAUGUUCUUAGCUGUACCAUUAGAAGAGAUAUCUUUCUGCCUAAUAAGCAAGAGACUGUAGUGCAGAGCUGAUUGGGGCAAAAGUGUCUACAUAACAGUAACAGUGCUCCAGACUGUGGAUAAUUUCAAAUAAAAUAAUUACCUUUACUAGCUCUGCAGAAGUUUCAGUAAAUGCUGAAAAGGAUAAAAUUGCAGGUGCUGACUACAGAGAGUAGUAAAAAAUCUCAGUAGAAAACUAAAUUGUACUUGUUUUUUUCCUGGAUUGCCUCCUGCUGCUGGAAGCCCACCUGGUCUCUAUUACAUCUCCUAUUCAGCAUAGUUAAAAUUUGCUACAGCCAUUUCAGGUUUGAAUGUUAGAACGUUGUGUUAAUAUGGCAGGUUUUGACAUUCCAUUGUUUAAAUGACAGUGUUCUUUUUUAUUACUUUAUUUAUUUAUUUAUUGCAAGGUUGAAAUUCAGACUCUCAUUAGAGCAAAUUAUGUUGAACUCUGGAGUAAGAGAACUUGCACAGCAGUAGUGUUUUUUUUUUUUUUCUCGGUUGUAUCUAACAAAUGGAAUUGAAGCUGUUCCUAUUUAAAUCGGCAGUGUUACUGAAGGAAAGAGCAGCAUUUGACCAAAUGCAUGCCAAAAACAUGAUAUUUAUGAAAUACUACCAUAACACUGGAGUGUUACUCUAUGGAGAUAAAUAUUUAAAUUUUAAGAGCUAUUGUUCUCAGAGGUGCUAUUGUGGGCAGGAAUUGAAUGAUAUGAGUCUCAGAGAUGUGAAGUGUAACUCAACUGUCAUUACGUUUCAUUCUCCAUUUAAGAUCAAAAUACAUUUUAGAUUGCCUGUAACCUGCACACUCAUGCAACUCUAAGUUCAGAUGCAUCUUAAAAUCUUUAGCACAGAGAAGAAUUUUCUCACUACAGAACACGAAGAAAAAACAUGUCGUUGAAAUGAUUGCUUUUCAUAUAGUAACAAUAUUUUAAAUUUGUCUUGUUAUUUCAGUCUGUAUAGUUUUUCUAUUCAAAGGAAGUAUAAAGAAAAAUAUAACCUAUGCUGAACAUGAUUUAAGCAGUCUUCAGAGACAAUUUGCUUUAACAAAGACAUGCUUAAAUAUGAGUUUCUUGUAGGCUGGUCAAUGGAUGCAAUUAUCUUUUGUCUUUGAGUAUGUAAUAAGAACACUACCCACGCUCUACAGAAAUGUUACUGGAAGGGAGUAGAAAUGUUUGAAUUUACCUCAUGCAUUUUGUCUCAGAAUUAUAAAGACAAAAACAGUCUUUAAGUGGUCCAUAUUUGAAAAGUUUUGUUUUAAAAGCCUUGAGCACCACAUAAAAAGGACAAUGUUCAUGACAUCAAUGAAUGAUAUGGCCUUCUUUAUUUAUUUACUUAUUCUUAAAUGGUUCUAGAGCACUAAAGAAAUAAUGGGACUUUGAAGCAAAAUGUGUCUUGUAAGGGACCUGUACAUGCAAAACUAAUUAAUUAAUUAAUUAAGAGUUACACUUCUGAUCUGGGUUCUUCAAUUAAGUGCUUAAAAUCAUAAUCCAGACUAGAUUUAGUUGUUGACUCCCUUAGUAGCUGCUAGUUUUACUGUUAGAGAGAAUUCCUGAGACACUUCAAUCAUUAGGGAUGUUACAGCAGCAGUAUUUGUUCAUACAUUUAAAGAUAGAAUGUGUUCUUAGAAAUAGUUAUGCUUGUGAUUCACUAUAUACAGCUGACUCAACUGAGAUAUCCAAGUACUAAAGUGUUUGCAGAAUACUGUUUGUACUGUAAUUAAGUUGUUUGGAACACCCUGCACCCUUUGACAUCUACAAAAUAUAGGAAAUAAUAUUGAGGAUAAUAAUUACAGCAUGAAAAGUAGAUAUUUUAAAAUAAAUAGGGAAAAAAAAGUACAAGCAAUGCAUGUAAGAACUCUGUUUGCGUGUUUUAUUUCAUUUAUUUAUUUUAUUUUAUUGAUUUUCUGUAUAGCAGAAAAUCUGAUUUUUUUUAAAUGUGGGUCCAUAUUUUCAUUGAACUCCAGUUUCUCCUUACCACCUCAGAGAAAUUGUCAUAUUCAAGUGUCCUUUAAUAUCUAAGUGUCCUUUAAUAUUUUAAUAAUUAUCCAAUAGAUAAUAAUGUAAUAAGUAUCCAAUAAAAAUAAUGCAGAGAUAUGAAUAAUCCUGCGUGAAAGUAUGUUAUUGUGUGAAAUGAUAAUUUUUCAGUAUAAUUUUACAUGUGCAAUGCAUCAAAAAUUCUAGUUCAUGUAAUAAGAAACAUUAAAGAGAAAAUUUUCUAAAAAUAAGAAAAUAAGUGUUCUAGUAUUGGCAUAUUCAAGAAUCAGUCUGAGGACUGGAAAGUUUACAUAUACACACACAAUAUAUAUAUUGUUUUUCCUAUGAAAAAUGUCUCACCACUAACUCACUCUAAUUUUAAUAACUUACAGCAGGAAAAAAAAAAGAAAAAAGCAUUGUUGCAUAGAUGCACUCUAGUGAAUAUUAUUGCUGUCAUUACUAAUCAAAGCCUACAGGCUUUGUACAGACCUGACAUAACAGGCUCUUGAGGCUGGUCUCGACUUGCUUUGUGUUAGGGUUUAAUCCAAGCAGGCAGCUCAGCUCCACACAGCCACUUGUUCAUCCUCCCCAUGAGAGAAUUAAGAAGGUAAAUGUGUGAGAACUUGUGGACAGAGAUAAAGAUAGUUUACAAAGCAGAGUAAAAGCUGUGUACACAAGCAAAACAAGAAUUCUUCUGCUACUUCCUAUUGGCAGGCAGAUGCUUAGCCACUCACAGGAAAACAGAAGAAAAAAAAAAAAAGCAGGAAAACAUGCAUUACAUUAGCACUUCAAAUGCCCCACCCAUCCCCUUUUCCUUCUUUAUCCCGGCUUUUAUUGCUUUAUUGAUGACCACACCAUUGUAUGAAAUAUCCCUCUGGCCAGUUUGGAUCAGUUGUCCUGUCCUCUUCCCCAGCUACUUAUUCACCCAUGGCUCCUCUCUGGUAGAGCAGCAGAGAAGUGGAAAAUUCUUUGUCUUAGUGUAAGCAUUACUCAGCAACAACUAAAACAUCAGUGUAUUAUCAUCAGUAUCAUUAUCAAAAAUAUAAAACACAGUAUCAUGUGUACCUCUAUAAAGAAAAUUAACUCUAUCCCAGCCAAAACCAUGACACCUUGGCCUGAGCUUUGAGUAAUGAUCUGUAAGCCAAGUGACUACCUCAUGAGCUUGAACUGAAGCUCUGUGUAUGCCUUCCAUGGUCAACUCUCAUCAGUCGUGGGAGUCACGGCUCAGCAAGCGAUUGCUCUUUCAUCCUAUUGAGGCUGGCUGUUCAACUGCCUUCAGACUUGAGCUGCGAACCAGUGAGCAGGAAGCAGAGUGAUGAGAAAGGACAUAGAAAUGACCCUGCACUGGGACCUACAGAUUCAGGAGAAAGGAGGGACCUCCUGCCGUGAACGCUGACCACUCCUGCUGAGUCCUGAGGCUGCUGACAACUUGCUGAGCCUGUUAUGUCCAGGAACAGCCACCUCCAUUGGCUUUAGGUCCUGGAGGACCACAGGAUGGAAGAGCACAGCUUAAGGGAAAAGGGGUAGAUAUUAUUAAGUCUUGUAUGAUAAUUUCAAGGGUAUUGCUCUCAUCAAGUUUUUUUGUGUUUUUGUUUUGUUUUGUUUCAUUUUUGGGGGGUGUGUAAUUUUUGGUAGUAAUUUAUGUUACAAAUACUUGAUUAUACACCUCAUGGAAUUAAACAUAACUCAUUGCUGUGUUUUGAUUAGAUUUUGAGUUAGACUCCCAAUAAAUAAUUCUUGCCUUCACGUGCAAAAUUUGUUCCAUUUUUGCCAAUAACAGGAUUUUGAGUCUAACACAUUAUACUAAAUUCACUAACCUUUUCAUAGAAGCAUUUCAGCAUUUUUGUAAAAUUAUUCUAGGAAGAUUUAGCCCAAGGCAGAAAGCUGGCAUAAAACUUUGACCUAAAUAGCUUGUUACUCAUAGCUUUUGUUCCUCAGAAUAAGUCUUUACAGUGAAAUUUCAGGUCAACCUUUAAAACAAGUCGCUCCAUAUAGUACAAAGUACAUAUAGGCAAAAGCAAAAUAUAAUUCUUUUCCUGCAGAUGAUACUAAGAGAGUGAUAGAGUUUAUC